CGGCACGCCUAACACAUGCAAGUCGAACGAAGUAGCAAUACUUAGUGGCAGACGGGUGAGUAACAUGUGGGUAUCUACCCUUUGGCCUGGAAUAACACGAGGAAACUUGUGCUAAUACCGGAUAAGUCUUUACAGAGAAAGCUUUAUGCACCAUUGGAUGAGCCCGCAUUUGAUUAGUUUGUUGGUAGGGUAAUGGCCUACCAAGACUGUGAUCAAUAGCUGAUUUGAGAGGAUGAUCAGCCACAUUGGGACUGAGACACGGCCCAAACUCCUACGGGAGGCAGCAGUGGGGAAUCUUGCACAAUGGAGGAAACUCUGAUGCAGCGAUGCCGCGUGAGUGAAGAAGGCCCUUGGGUUGUAAAGCUCUUUCGUCGGGGAAGAAAAUGACUGUACCCGAAUAAGAAGGUCCGGCUAACUUCGUGCCAGCAGCCGCGGUAAUACGAAGGGACCUAGCGUAGUUCGGAAUUACUGGGCUUAAAGAGUUCGUAGGUGGUUGAAAAAGUUGGUGGUGAAAUCCCAGAGCUUAACUCUGGAACUGCCAUCAAAACUUUUCAGCUAGAGUUUGAUAGAGGAAAGCAGAAUUUCUAGUGUAGAGGUGAAAUUCGUAGAUAUUAGAAAGAAUACCAAUUGCGAAGGCAGCUUUCUGGAUCAUUACUGACACUGAGGAACGAAAGCAUGGGUAGCGAAGAGGAUUAGAUACCCUCGUAGUCCAUGCCGUAAACGAUGUGUGUUAGACGUUGGAAAUUUAUUUUCAGUGUCGCAGCGAAAGCGAUAAACACACCGCCUGGGG
RNAcentral lists this ribosomal RNA (790 nucleotides) under uncultured Pelagibacteraceae bacterium. RNAcentral's name for it is "bacterial SSU rRNA". It matches the Rfam family "Bacterial small subunit ribosomal RNA", at positions 40 to 878 of the family's 1533-position model. Lineage: Bacteria; Pseudomonadati; Pseudomonadota; Alphaproteobacteria; Candidatus Pelagibacterales; Candidatus Pelagibacteraceae. The record is from RNAcentral.